UCUUGUUUAUCUUCUCUAUUCUCUGCAUUGGAUCCUAUCAUGCAAUCUUCACCAGAACUACUGGAUUAAAACCCAUGCAGAAGUCAGUAGAAAAUGUUCAAGGGAAGAGACUCCUGCACGGAAGCCCAGGCUGCUCCUGUGGAAGCUUGAAAUCAUCCCUCUAGAAAGGAGCUCCUCCCCUGGGUCUCUCUGGUUCAUAUGGACUGAGCCUCCCUCCCCUACCCAUGUGAAGGUUUGUCUUCUGCAGAGGCCAGUGUCUCAGGAGCCAGGAAGCAGUGCCUGGCUGGUGGUCCAUGCAGCAGAUGUGGGGAGUUUUCCUUCUUUACGUUUCACUGAUGGUGGGAGGUGCUGCAAGACAAAGUGUUGAGCAGCCCACCGAGUUGAUGGCUGUGGAAGGAGCCUCUGUCCAGGUCAACUGCACGUUCCAGACGUCUGGGUUCAACGGGCUGUCCUGGUACCAGCAACACGAUGGUGGAGCUCCUGUAUUUGUCUCUUACAAUGUUCUGGAUGGGUUUCAGAAUAGAAGUCGUCUUUCUACUUUCCUUCGUCGCUCUGAUGGGUACAGUUCCCUGUUUCUGAGGGAGCUCCAGAUGAAAGACUCUGCCUCUUACUUCUGUGCU
Molecule: non-coding RNA, 620 nt
Organism: Chinchilla lanigera (long-tailed chinchilla)
Lineage: Eukaryota; Metazoa; Chordata; Mammalia; Rodentia; Chinchillidae
Source: the annotation of a RefSeq genome assembly